RNAcentral lists this ribosomal RNA (522 nucleotides) under uncultured Diaporthe. Its description in RNAcentral is "eukaryotic LSU rRNA". The stretch from base 174 to 327 matches the Rfam family "5.8S ribosomal RNA". The record is from RNAcentral. Lineage: Eukaryota; Fungi; Ascomycota; Sordariomycetes; Diaporthales; Diaporthaceae.
CAUUGCUGGAACGCGCCCCAGGCGCACCCAGAAACCCUUUGUGAACUUAUACCUAUUGUUGCCUCGGCGCUAGCUGGCCCUCCGGGGCCCCUUGGAGACAAGGAGCGGCGCGCCGGCGGCCUACUUAACUCUGUUUCUUAGUGAAUCUCUGAGUAAAAAAACAAAUGAAUCAAAACUUUCAACAACGGAUCUCUUGGUCCUGGCAUCGAUGAAGAACGCAGCGAAAUGCGAUAAGUAAUGUGAAUUGCAGAAUUCAGUGAAUCAUCGAAUCUUUGAACGCACAUUGCGCCCUCUGGUAUUCCGGAGGGCAUGCCUGUUCGAGCGUCAUUUCAACCCUCAAGCCUGGCUUGGUGUUGGGGCACUGCCUGUGAAAGGGCAGGCCCUGAAAUAUAGUGGCGAGCUCGCCAGGACUCCGAGCGCAGUAGUAUAUCUCGUUCUGGAAGGCCUGGCGGUGCCCUGCCGUUAAACCCCAACUUUUGAAAAUUUGACCUCGGAUCGGGUAGGAAUACCCGCUGAACUUAA